RNAcentral lists this ribosomal RNA (253 nucleotides) under uncultured bacterium. RNAcentral describes it as "partial 16S ribosomal RNA". It matches the Rfam family "Bacterial small subunit ribosomal RNA", at positions 524 to 776 of the family's 1533-position model. The record is from RNAcentral.
UACGGAGGGUGCAAGCGUUGUCCGGAUUUAUUGGGUUUAAAGGGUGCGUAGGCGGCCCUGUAAGUCAGUGGUGAAAGCCUCCAGCUCAACUGGAGAACUGCCAUUGAUACUCCAGGGCUUGAGUACAGACGAGGUUGGCGGAAUUGAUAGUGUAGCGGUGAAAUGCAUAGAUACUAUCAAGAACUCCGAUUGCGUAGGCAGCUAACUAGGCUGUAACUGACGCUGAGGCACGAAAGCGUGGGGAGCGAACAGG